This 492-nucleotide ribosomal RNA is filed under the name uncultured bacterium. Its description in RNAcentral is "partial 16S ribosomal RNA". It matches the Rfam family "Bacterial small subunit ribosomal RNA", at positions 29 to 507 of the family's 1533-position model. The record is from RNAcentral.
AGUGAACGCUGGCGGUAGGCCUAACACAUGCAAGUCGAACGGCAGCACAGUAAGAGCUUGCUCUUACGGGUGGCGAGUGGCGGACGGGUGAGGAAUACAUCGGAAUCUACUUUUUCGUGGGGGAUAACGUAGGGAAACUUACGCUAAUACCGCAUACUACCUACGGGUGUAAUCAUGGGAGCUUCGGACCUUUCGCGAUUGAAUGAGCCGAUGUCGGAUUAGCUAGUUGGCGGGGUAAAGGCCCACCAAGGCGACGAUCCGUAGCUGGUCUGAGAGGAUGAUCAGCCACACUGGAACUGAGACACGGUCCAGACUCCUACGGGAGGCAGCAGUGGGGAAUAUUGGACAAAGGGCGCAAGCCUGAUCCAGCCAUACCGCGUGAGUGAAGAAGGUCUUCGGGUUGUAAAGCCCUUUUGUUGGGAAAGAAAAGCAGCAGGUUAAUACCCCGCUGUUCUGACGGUACCCAAAGAAAAAGCACCGGCUAACUUCGUG